GCAUGUGAAUUUUGAUUCGUACAUUCCCUAAGACAUGUAUGUAAUAUAAUAUCCAGCUUUUGAAAAAAUCACUUGCCAUUAGAAUGACAAUUUGGAUCGAAAGGAGUAUGAACAGAACACCAAUGACGAGACUGACAAGUCGGGCGUGUUUGAUGAGGGCCUGAAAUAAUUAGAUUAAACGCUCAGUGAAGAUUGGUUAAAUAAAAAUUCUGAAAGUAACUCCAA
This is a non-coding RNA of Caenorhabditis elegans, 225 nucleotides long. The record is from Ensembl. Lineage: Eukaryota; Metazoa; Nematoda; Chromadorea; Rhabditida; Rhabditidae.